RNAcentral lists this ribosomal RNA (1447 nucleotides) under Virgibacillus halodenitrificans. RNAcentral describes it as "partial 16S ribosomal RNA". It matches the Rfam family "Bacterial small subunit ribosomal RNA". The record is from RNAcentral. RNAcentral also lists the same sequence under 3 other names. Lineage: Bacteria; Bacillati; Bacillota; Bacilli; Caryophanales; Bacillaceae.
GACGAACGCUGGCGGCGUGCUUAACACAUGCAAGUCGAACGGAAAGGCCCUGCUUUUGUGGGGUGCUCGAGUGGCGAACGGGUGAGUAACACGUGAGUAACCUGCCCUUGACUUUGGGAUAACUUCAGGAAACUGGGGCUAAUACCGGAUAGGAGCUCCUGCUGCAUGGUGGGGGUUGGAAAGUUUCGGCGGUUGGGGAUGGACUCGCGGCUUAUCAGCUUGUUGGUGGGGUAGUGGCUUACCAAGGCUUUGACGGGUAGCCGGCCUGAGAGGGUGACCGGCCACAUUGGGACUGAGAUACGGCCCAGACUCCUACGGGAGGCAGCAGUGGGGAAUAUUGCACAAUGGGCGGAAGCCUGAUGCAGCAACGCCGCGUGCGGGAUGACGGCCUUCGGGUUGUAAACCGCUUUCGCCUGUGACGAAGCGUGAGUGACGGUAAUGGGUAAAGAAGCACCGGCUAACUACGUGCCAGCAGCCGCGGUGAUACGUAGGGUGCGAGCGUUGUCCGGAUUUAUUGGGCGUAAAGGGCUCGUAGGUGGUUGAUCGCGUCGGAAGUGUAAUCUUGGGGCUUAACCCUGAGCGUGCUUUCGAUACGGGUUGACUUGAGGAAGGUAGGGGAGAAUGGAAUUCCUGGUGGAGCGGUGGAAUGCGCAGAUAUCAGGAGGAACACCAGUGGCGAAGGCGGUUCUCUGGGCCUUUCCUGACGCUGAGGAGCGAAAGCGUGGGGAGCGAACAGGCUUAGAUACCCUGGUAGUCCACGCUGUAAACGGUGGGUACUAGGUGUGGGGUCCAUUCCACGGGUUCCGUGCCGUAGCUAACGCUUUAAGUACCCCGCCUGGGGAGUACGGCCGCAAGGCUAAAACUCAAAGGAAUUGACGGGGCCCCGCACAAGCGGCGGAGCAUGCGGAUUAAUUCGAUGCAACGCGUAGAACCUUACCUGGGUUUGACAUGGAUCGGGAGUGCUCAGAGAUGGGUGUGCCUCUUUUGGGGUCGGUUCACAGGUGGUGCAUGGCUGUCGUCAGCUCGUGUCGUGAGAUGUUGGGUUAAGUCCCGCAACGAGCGCAACCCUUGUUCACUGUUGCCAGCACGUUAUGGUGGGGACUCAGUGGAGACCGCCGGGGUCAACUCGGAGGAAGGUGGGGAUGACGUCAAGUCAUCAUGCCCCUUAUGUCCAGGGCUUCACGCAUGCUACAAUGGCUGGUACAGAGAGUGGCGAGCCUGUGAGGGUGAGCGAAUCUCGGAAAGCCGGUCUCAGUUCGGAUUGGGGUCUGCAACUCGACCUCAUGAAGUCGGAGUCGCUAGUAAUCGCAGAUCAGCAACGCUGCGGUGAAUACGUUCCCGGGGCUUGUACACACCGCCCGUCAAGUCAUGAAAGUUGGUAACACCCGAAGCCGGUGGCCUAACCGUUGUGGGGGAGCCGUCGAAGGUGGGACUGGUGAUUAGGACU